Molecule: ribosomal RNA, 2977 nt
Filed under: Synergistes jonesii
Lineage: Bacteria; Thermotogati; Synergistota; Synergistia; Synergistales; Synergistaceae
Description: bacterial LSU rRNA
Rfam family: Bacterial large subunit ribosomal RNA
Source: RNAcentral
GGUUAAGGUACACAUAGCACGAGGGGAAUGCCUUGGCGCUGUAUGCCGAAGAAAGACGUAGCAAGCUGCGAAAAGCCGCGGUAAGGAGCAAGCAUCCAUCGACCCGCGGAUAUCUGAAUGGGGCAACCUUCACGGGUCAACCCGUGAGCCUUUAGAGAAAGGCGGCAACCCGGCGAAGUGAAACAUCUCAGUAGCCGGAGGAAAAGAAAUCGUAAGAGAUACCCUAAGUAGUGGUGAGCGAAAGGGGCGAAGCCCAAACCGUAGCCAUGCCAAGCCCGCAGGCGUUGUGGCGUCGGUGUAGAGGGAUCAUACGGGAAAGGCUGCGGACCUUCCACGGAGCGAGAAAGCCGACAGCAAACCGAACCGAGUUGGAAAAUCGGGCCAUAGAGAGUGAAAGCCUCGUAAGUGCAAGCCGUCGGCCUCCGGUAUGACACCCAAGUAAUGCGGAACACGAGAAACUCCGUACGAAUCCGGGCCGACCACGGUCCAAGGCUAAAUACAUACAGCGACCGAUAGAGAAACAGUACCGAGAGGGAAAGGUGAAAAGCACCCCUGGCGGGGAGUGAAAGAGACCUGAAACCUCGUGCUAACAAGCAGAUGGAGCUUCGUAAGAAGUGACAUCGUGCCUCUUGGAAAAUGAGCCGUCGAGUUAUAGUGCGUGGCGAAGUUAAAGACUACGAGGUCCGCAGCUGAAGCGAAAGCGAGUCCGAAGAGGGCGCGAGUCUCGUACUAUAGACCCGAAGCCAUACGAUCUAUCCGUGUCCAGAUCGAAGACCGGGUAACACCGGUUGGAGGAUCGCACCACAGCCUGUUGAAAAAGGCCUGGAUGAGGUGCGGAUAGGAGUGAAAAGCUAAUCGAGUAUGGUGAUAGCUGGUUCUCCCCGAAAUGCAUUGAGGUGCAGCCUCAGGCGAACGAACAAAGGGGGUAAAGCACUGACUAGGCAAGGGGGCGGCAACGCCUGCCGAGCUUACUCAAACUAAGAAUACCUUUGUAUUGCGUCAGAGAGUGAGACUGCGAGUGCGAAGAUCCGUAGUCGAAAGGGAAACAGCCCAGCCCGACAGCUAAGGUCCCCAAGCGCGUGCUAAGUGUGACAAGGAUGUGGGGAAGCCCAGACAGCCAGGAAGUUGGCUCAGAAGCAGCCAUCCUUCAAAGAGUGCGUAACAGCUCACUGGUCGAGCGUCCCCGCGCCAAAAAUGUGGGGGGCUAAGCACGCCGCCGAAGCUUCGGACUCAAUGUUUCAGACAUUGAGUGGUAGGGGAGCGUUCUUUACAGGACGAAGCGGCGUUGUAAAAAGCCGUGGACAGUAAAGAAGAGAGAAUGACGGCAUGAGUAGCGAGAAAUAUGCAAAAAACAUAUUCACCGAAAACCCGAGGAUUCCUGGGGAAGGUUCAUCCGCCCAGGGUUAGGCGGGCCCUAAGGCGAGGCUGAAAAGCGUAGUCGAUGGACAGCGGGUAGACAUCCCCGCCCUUCGGUAGUUCGUUUGACAGAAGCGGGAAAGCAGAAAGCUAUGCGCGCCGGGCGACGGACAUCCCGGUACAAAGAAGUAGGCCGAUGAGGGAGGCAAAUCCCCCGCAUCAUAAAGCCGAGACCUGACGUGGAAGAAACAAAAUUCUGGAAGGCGCAAAUGCUCGGCUGCCGAGAAAAGCCGCUAUGGAGAACUAUCGGACCCGUACUUCAAACCGACACAGGUGGGUUGGCCUAGCAAGCUAAGGUGAACGGGAAAACCAUUGUUAAGGAACUCUGCAAGUUGACUCCGUAACUUCGGGAGAAGGAGUGGCUGAAGACGUGAAGACUAAACGUUAUAAGCGUUUUUGGUUCGCAGAACCCAGGCUCAGGCGACUGUUUAACUAAAACACAAGACUCUGCUGAAGGCGCAAGCCGAAGUAUAGGGUCUGACACCUGCCCGGUGCCGGAAGGUUAAAGGGAGAAGUCAGCCCUUAAGGGCGCAGCUUUGAACUGAAGCCCCGGUAAACGGCGGCCGUAACUAUAACGGUCCUAAGGUAGCGAAAUUCCUUGUCGGGUAAGUUCCGACCUGCACGAAAGGUGUAACGAUCUGAGCGCUGUCUCAACAGUGGACCCGGUGAAAUUGUGGUACUGGUAAAGACGCCAGUUCCCCGCAGUAGGACGGAAAGACCCCGUGGAGCUUUACUGUAACUUGAUAUUGGAUUUCGGUACAGCAUGUAUAGAAUAGGUGGGAGCCGUUGAAGAAAUGACGUCAGUUGUUUCGGAGGCGCCGUUGGAAUACCACCCUUGCCGUGCUGAGAUUCUAACGGCUGCUAUUGAAACAUAGAGCCGGACAUUGUCAGGCGGGCAGUUUGACUGGGGCGGUCGCCUCCCAAAGAGUAACGGAGGCGCGCGAAAGUCACCUCAGGGUGAAUGGAAAACACCCAAAGAGCGUAAGGGUAUAAGGUGGCCUAACUGAGAGAUCGACAGAUCGAACAGAAACGAAAGUUGGUCCUAGUGAUCCGGUGGUCCUGAGUGGAAAGGCCAUCGCUCAUCGGAUAAAAGCUACCCCGGGGAUAACAGGCUGAUGCCGCCCGAGAGUUCCUAUCGACGGCGGCGUUUGGCACCUCGAUGUCGGCUCAUCGCAUCCUGGGGCUGAAGCAGGUCCCAAGGGUUGGUCUGUUCGCCCAUUAAAGCGGUACGUGAGCUGGGUUCAGAACGUCGUGAGACAGUUCGGUCCCUAUCCACUGUGGGCGCAAGGUAUUUGAGGGGAGCCGUCCUUAGUACGAGAGGACCGGGAUAGACGAACCGCUAGUGAACCAGUUGUUCCGCCAGGGGCAGAAGCUGGGUAGCCAAGUUCGGUCAGGAUAACCGCUGAAGGCAUCUAAGCGGGAAGCCGUCCCCGAGAUGAGAUACCUGAUUCUGUAAUAGGAAGUAAGGCGUCCGGAAGACGACCGGAUAGAUAGGCCGGGAGUGUAAGAGGGUAACGCCCUUUGAGCCGACCGGUACUAAUACGCCGAGGCCUUAACCUCA